RNAcentral lists this non-coding RNA (222 nucleotides) under Novosphingobium sp. Lineage: Bacteria; Pseudomonadati; Pseudomonadota; Alphaproteobacteria; Sphingomonadales; Sphingomonadaceae. The record is from RNAcentral.
GCCGGACAUGAUCGUGCCGGUGCCCUGACGGGCUUAAUCGGGAAUGCGGUGAGGGGGCCUUGGCUCCCAAUUCCGUGGCUGUCCCUGCAACUGUGAGCGGAUAGCGCGAUGCACAUGCCCCAUGCCGGGGCAGCCACUGGAAGGGCCAUUUGCCCAUCUGGGAAGGCGUGCAUCAAGCUGUGACCCGCGAGCCAGGAGACCUGCCGGCGCACCGGUCGCUCU